This is an RNA transcript of Carya illinoinensis, 4951 nucleotides long. RefSeq lists it as uncharacterized. NCBI's taxonomy places the organism in Eukaryota, Viridiplantae, Streptophyta, Magnoliopsida, Fagales, Juglandaceae. The transcript is spliced from 4 exons. The record is from RefSeq and is a predicted model, not a curated record.
AAGAGGGAUCUAGGGUUUCAUCGUAAACUUUGCCGCCGCCUCCCCUUCUUCAAACCGGCUCACCAGCGCAUGGACACCGGCAUCAGACGGUUUACUGGAGCUGCAUUUCGGCAAGGGCACCGGCUUCAGCACAUCCACGAGACAACCUUUUCCACACCUAUCCCUCACGCAGGUCACCCCCCCGACCGAGAUCCAAUACCACCCAGCAAACGCAUGUCGCCACCUAUCCCUCACGCAGCCACCGUGGGGUUGCCGUGUGCUGGGCAGGCCAGCCACAUCUACAACCAAAGCAUUUUCAAGAAAACUACUCUGUUAUAUGCUCUGUUUUAAGCUCUGGAACCAGAGCGUUUUCAAGAAACCCGACCGGGAGCAACCGACCGAGAACCUCCGUCACUUUCUUUCUUUCUCCGUUCACUCCUCCGACCACUUCUCGUGCGUGGCCAUCACUACUUUUCAACUCUUUCAUCAGCCGGAAAAAGGGGGAGAGAGGGGAAUGAGCCACCGGGAGUUUGGCCUAUGCGCAGAGCCACCGUAUCACCACAGUCCCUCACCAAGCAAACUUAUUCUAAGAACCAGGAAACCAGAGAAAAACUAGCUAGCAAAACAGAAAAAUAAAGCAGAAAAAAAGAGAGGGGAGGAGGGGGGGAGGGGAGGAGGGAGCCGAGGCUCCCACCUCCCUGUUGGACGGCGCUUCUUUAGGAGGUUUUCUCAAGCCUCUAGAGAGAAGAAGCGGGACGAAAUCUUUUCAUGAUCAGAAAAGAUCUUGAUUGGGUAUAUACGGUACAUUCAUACCCAUUUCUCCUUUCCCUAGCAAGAGUGGAAAUUGGACCGCUGCGAAGGAAUUUCUCGAGGGUAGGCCCAAUGCAGUGGGCUCGAGAAUCACACACGGGCUACACGGCUCUUCACAUUGCUGUUGCUGCUGGACAUUUUCGUGUAGUGGACGAGUUGGUAAAAAAGCUGAUGCCAGAACAGAACUUGGAAACCCUCGAUUAUGAUGGUUUCUCAGCCCUAACUGAGGCAGCUGUUGGUGGAAAAAAAACUAUGGCACAGUGCAUGCUUUGCAAGAACGAGAAGUUAAUCAGCAUUGCGAGUUCGGCUGGAAUUCUUCCGGUUAAUACGGCCAUUUCUUUUGGGCACACAGAAACGGCUCGCUAUUUGUAUUCUCUCACUCCGCUGGAAGAUUUGAUGCCGGAAAGUGGCUAUAACGGUGCUAAUCUUUUUAUUGAUGCUAUAUCUGCGGGAACCUUAGAUAUUGCUUUGGAUUUAUUACAGCGUUGCCCACGUUUGAUAUUUGCUUAUAACGGGUUUGGAAACUACCCCUUGGUGGCAUUGGCUUCUACGCCUCAUUUAUUCCCUAGUGGAAGUCGGCUUGUGUUUUAGAAACGAUGGAUCUACAAGUAAUGUAUCCACAUCCAAUCAUCUGGUUCUAUCCUCAAUGAAACUCAUUUGAACAUUCCAAAAGGAGACAAACACCAAAGGGAUCAAGUAAACACGAUCAUAUUAGGAUUUUGCUAGCUUUGUCUGCAACGGCCCUGCGGGAGAACAGGUUGGUGGACAAGUUUGUCCAAAGUAUUAAAAACAAUCAAAACAUUUUUAAAACAAUCAGUUAAAUGAGAACAAGAUGAGCAAAGCAAACAACCAAUGGAGUCAAAAAUUGAUGCUCUGAAAAACAGCGAAAAGGAUUUAUUACCAAUAAGAUCUGCCCGAAAACUGUUUUUCAGGAUUUUCCAUUAACAUUAAAGAUGGUUUUCUUGAAACUGGUCCUUAUUGAAACUAAGAUUUUUGAGCUCUAUGUGGAAGGUAGUCAAUUGGUGCGUAUUGUAGAACGAGGUAGAAAGGUGGUGAAAGAGCUGGGCUAAGUCUUAUUCGAAGGGUAAACCAACAUUUGGCUGGGCUAAGAGGUAUCCUUGGGUUAUGUAAGGGAGAUAGAAGUAUCCGUGGGGCUUGUACCUCACGGGCCAUAAAAGGGAAGGGACCAACCCAUAUGGCCUUAAGACACAUAACCCAGUGUUUGUGGGCUAAAAACAACCCAGUCACCAAGAAAGGGCCCAACCCUUCCUUAAACCUACCCUCUAGAAUCGAGAAACCACCGCCAGAGCUGAUGAACUAUCAGAUAGGGACAACACAGAAUGGGUCGACGGAUGUGGGUGAUUUGGUGGAUGAUGUCUUCUUCGUCACUAUGGUGGCCCUGGCAUGAAGAUUCUCGAGGAAAUUGUACCUUUUUCGAUACUCGAGGAAGUUGUACCUGUUUCGAAGUUGUUUCUGGAUUGAAGUUGAACUUGGCCAAAUCAGAUGUAGUUUUGGUGGGGCCAGUGCAUAAUGUGGAUGGUAUGAUUUCUAUCUUGGGAUGUAAGAUAUCUCAUUUACCCAUGAAAUAUCUUGGCCUCCCAUUGGGUGCUCAUUACAAAUUGAUAUCCAUUUGGAAUGAUCUCCUAGAAAAGAUGGAGCGGAAACAUGCUAGUUGGAAGUGGAUGUAUUUAUCAAAAGGUGGUAGAGUCACACUCAUCAAAAGUACCCUAUCCUAUCUACUGGCUUAUUUCCUCUCUUUAUUUCUGCUUCCAUCAAAGGUGGCUUACCGAUGGAAACAAUACAGCAAGAUCUCCCAUGGGGAGGGAUAUGAUGUGUUCAAAUUUCAUCUGGUGAAAUGAGUCACCAUUUGUUCCCCAAUUUCCGAAGGAGGUUUGGGUAUCCUAAAUAUGCAGCUUUUUAAUAAGGUGCUGUUGGGCAAAUAGCUAUGGAGAUAUCCCCUAGAACAUGGAGUUUUGUGGAGAAGUUUUAGACUUAAAAGUACGGUAGAGCAUGGGGAGGUUGGUGCUCGAAUGAGGUGAGUGGAUCCUAUAGGGUGGGGCUUUGAAAGCACAUCAGAUGUGGAUGGACUAUAUUUUCUAGUUUUACCUGUUUUGAGGUGGGUGACAGGUUCUGAAUCAAAUUCUAGUAUGACAUAUGGUGUGGUGACAGGGCCCUUAAUGAAGCUUAUCCAGGCUUCUUUGGUAUAGCAAGAAUGAAGAAAGCCUCGAUUGCAGACCUCCUUGACCAAUCUAAUAGCAUUCCCCAAUGGAAUGCCACAUUUCUUAGAGCUGUCCAUGAUUGGGAUGUUGAAGCAAUUUUUGAAUUUUACAUCCUAGUCUAUCCUGACCCUAUGGGGGAGGUGUCGCGAAGACAAGCUUUUUUGGUGCUCCUGGGCGAAAGGGAGUUCAUAGUACGCUCCUUCUACCAAUCCAUCUCUAAGUGUAAUAUAAAUCGAUUCCUGUGCAAAAGCAUUUGGAAGACUUAGGCCCCCCUAGGAGGCAUCCUUUUUUGUAUGGACAGCUUCUUUGGGGAAGAUUCUCACUAUUGACAACCUAAGAAAACGCCGAAUCAUAGUCUUAGAUUGGUGUUGUUUGUGUAAAAAGAACGGAGAAUCCGUCAAUCAUCUACUAAAAAGAGCGGAAUGACUUUUGCUAGGAUAGGAUGGGUGUAGCUUGGGUGAUGCCAAGAAAGGUGAUCGGCCUCUUAUCUUCAUGGAGAGAACUUCUCAGAUUGCCGCAAUUUGGAAGGUUGUUCCAAUCUGCCUAUGGUGGUGUCUUUGGAGGGAUAGGAACGAGCGAAACUUCAAAGAUCAUGGGCGGUCAUUGGAUGAACUCAGAACUUUCUUUUGUAACACCUUGUUCCAAUGGUCGAUUAUAAUUGAUUUUAAUGGCAUUUCCAUUCAUGAACUUCUUGUAUCACCAAAACAUCACUCCUAGGGGUUGCUCUUGUAUGUGAACCGUGUACUUGGGCUUUUGCCUAUUCCUACUAUCAAUAAAAUCUUAUUUGUGUUUCAAAAAUACAAUAAAAUAAAAUAAAAUCUUAUUUCCGGAUAAAACAAAUCUGUCCAAAAAUGUUCUGGAAUUUUCUAUUCUUCAAAUCCAUCUGGAGCUCAACCAAAUAAAUCACCCAAAUUGAAACAAAAAAUCCCCGCAUAUCGUAAAAACCAACCAAAUAAACCCAAAAAAUAAAAACCUCAAAUCUAGACAUAUUAACAUAACAGCAAAUGAAAAAAAAUAAAGUUAUGGGUGAGCCAGAUCAACUCCCAUUUCUUACAUUUACAUGCAUAUCAGUAUUAAUCACUAUCUUAUCUGAUGUGUUGUUGAAUUUCAUCUCGUCCUAUACUUCUUUUGCAUGCAUAUCUGAUUUUUCCUGCAUCCAAUCCACAACUAGAGUUUCUAAUGUUUUUAGAAAUAUAUAUCAUGUUAUAUUAUCAUAUUAAACAACUUAAAACUAUUGGGUCUUAAUCUACUGCUAUAAUAUUAAACACUAGAAGGGACAUUUACGGACAAUAGUUCAAUAAAAUAUGGAUAUGAUACAAUAGUUACAAUAAACCAAUAUUUAAAGUGAUUGCUAGCGCCUUCUAACUAAGUGGAGGUUAGUACUCUCCACACGAGUGGUGACAAUGAUUCCAAAUUUAAAAUAAUUACAAAUAACAAAUAUUUAAAGGGAUUGCUAGCCUCCUUUGCUCAUUGCAUUUCUAAUGGCAUACCAUGUAAUGAGGAACGUCUACUGAAAUGAUAAGAUUAUAAUCUUCAAGAAAGAUGGGUAGGAUCCGGAUGGCUUCAAGACCAUAAUCUAUCGCCAAAAUGCAUUCAAAACCCAUCUAACUAGAGGCGGAGUGGGACUAAGUACCAUCAUGGUCAUGCUUGAAGAUUAAUGACACUAACUAAAUAAGGUCAAUUUUCAAAAAAUUUCAAUGAGAACUACAUUAAAAUGAUAGUACUCCUUAUUUAAGAUAAUAAGACUAAUAUUGAUGCCUGUGUUCUAGAUUUAGCAUAUUCUAUAAAUUUCCUUUGACUUACCAGAAAAGGAGAUUUUAAUGGGAAUAUGCACAAAUUCUUUUCUCUUUCAGUGGAAUAUAAAUAUUUUAUUAGUUUCCAGUAAUAAUUUUCUAAUGUGUUUAAAGUAAGAAAUUAAUAUAUAUAUAUAUAUAUAUUUUUUU